This is a ribosomal RNA of 455 nucleotides. It matches the Rfam family "Bacterial small subunit ribosomal RNA", at positions 27 to 506 of the family's 1533-position model.
GGACGAACGCUGGCGGCGUGCCUAAUACAUGCAAGUCGAGCGAGGAGCUUUUAGCUCCUAGCGGCGAACGGGUGAGUAACACGUGGGCAACCUGCCCGUAAGACUGGGAUAACCUUCGGGAAACCGGAGCUAAUACUGGAUAAUCUUGAUCUUCGCAUGAAGGACAAGUAAAAGAUUUAUCACUUACGGAUGGGCCCGCGGUGCAUUAGCUUGUUGGUAGGGUAAUGGCCUACCAAGGCGACGAUGCAUAGCCGACCUGAGAGGGUGACCGGCCACACUGGGACUGAGACACGGCCCAGACUCCUACGGGAGGCAGCAGUAGGGAAUUUUCCGCAAUGGGCGAAAGCCUGACGGAGCAACGCCGCGUGAAUGAUGACGGCCUUCGGGUUGUAAAAUUCUGUUCUAAGGGAAGAAGUUCUGACGGUACCUUAGGAGAAAGCCACGGCUAACUACGU